RNAcentral lists this small RNA (471 nucleotides) under Pongo abelii (Sumatran orangutan). RNAcentral describes it as "processed transcript". Lineage: Eukaryota; Metazoa; Chordata; Mammalia; Primates; Hominidae. The record is from RNAcentral.
GCCUUUUAUCGAAGUACGUGGAUCACAAUGAGCUCAGGAGGAUGGGUACUGACUGGAUAGAGGAUGAUCUCAGGGGCUUUUACCUCCAACCUGUGUUUGCCUACCGCUAGAUCUGAGAGACCUGCUGUGUGACCCUGAGCCCUCGCUGUGCAUCAUCGCUUCCCAGACUCUGUUACUAGUCCAGAUGGCGAGGGCCAAACCAAAACCUAAGCAGAGAGUGAACUGGUUGCAGAAGCUCAUGGGCAGGUCCUCUGCCUAGAAACACAAGGCAAGCAACAUCAGAGACAGAAUCUUGCUAUGUUGUGCGGCAAGCUAGUCUUGAACUCACGGCCUCAAGUCAUCCUCCUGUGUCAGCCUCCCAAAGUGCUGGGAUUAUAAGCAUGUACCACCACACCCAGCAGAAUUCCAGUCUUGAGAAACAGGUCAAGGACAGCUUCAAAAGAGAUUCUAAAUAAAUGUUAAUGUUACAAU